Molecule: ribosomal RNA, 405 nt
Filed under: uncultured bacterium
Lineage: Bacteria
Description: partial 16S ribosomal RNA
Rfam family: Bacterial small subunit ribosomal RNA
Source: RNAcentral
AUUGAACGCUGGCGGCAGGCCUAACACAUGCAAGUCGAACGAGUGGCGGACGGGUGAGUAAUUCUUGGGAAACUCCCUGUUGGAGGGGGUCAAUACUUGAAACCGUAACUUAUUCCCCCUACAUUCGAUUGUCCCCAGUUGGGAUUACCUGGUUGGUGGGGUAACGGCUCACCAAGGCGACGACCCCUAGCUGGUCUGAGAGGAUGACCAGCCACACUGGAACUGAGACACGGUCCAGACUCCGACGGGAGGCAGCAGUGGGGAAUAUUGCACAAGGGGCGCAAGCCUGAUGCAGCCAUGCCGCGUGUAUGAAGAAGGCCUUCGGGUUGUAAAGUACUUUCAGCGAGGAGGCGUUACCCGCAGAAGAAGCACCGGCUAACUCCGUGCCAGCAGCCGCGGUAAUAC